This 352-nucleotide ribosomal RNA is filed under the name Salmonella enterica subsp. enterica. Its description in RNAcentral is "bacterial SSU rRNA". It matches the Rfam family "Bacterial small subunit ribosomal RNA", at positions 1 to 347 of the family's 1533-position model. The record is from RNAcentral. Lineage: Bacteria; Pseudomonadati; Pseudomonadota; Gammaproteobacteria; Enterobacterales; Enterobacteriaceae.
UUAAAUUGAAGAGUUUGAUCAUGGCUCAGAUUGAACGCUGGCGGCAGGCCUAACACAUGCAAGUCGAACGGUAACAGGAAGCAGCUUGCUGCUUUGCUGACGAGUGGCGGACGGGUGAGUAAUGUCUGGGAAACUGCCUGAUGGAGGGGGAUAACUACUGGAAACGGUGGCUAAUACCGCAUAACGUCGCAAGACCAAAGAGGGGGACCUUCGGGCCUCUUGCCAUCAGAUGUGCCCAGAUGGGAUUAGCUGGGUGGUGAGGUAACGGCUCACCAAGGCGACGAUCCCUAGCUGGUCUGAGAGGAUGACCAGCCACACUGGAACUGAGACACGGUCCAGACUCCUACGGGAG